GGAGUAUGGACCGUGUCUCAGUUCCAUUGUGACCGUUCAUCCUCUCAGACCGGUUACUGAUCGUCGGCUUGGUUAGCCUUUACCUAACCAACUACCUAAUCAGACGCAAACCCCUCACAUCGCGAUAAAUCUUUAGUAUAAAAUCCAUGCGAACUCUAUACAACAUUCGGUAUUAGCAAACCUUUCGGCUUGUUGUCCCCAUCAAUGCGGCAGGUUAUUUGCGCUUUACUCACCCGUUUGCCACUAGGUACAAGUACCCCGUUCGACUUGCAUGUGUUAAGCACGCCGCCAGCGUUCGUCCUCGAGCCAUGAUCAAACUACU
This 322-nucleotide ribosomal RNA is filed under the name uncultured Veillonellaceae bacterium. RNAcentral's name for it is "partial 16S ribosomal RNA". Lineage: Bacteria; Bacillati; Bacillota; Negativicutes; Veillonellales; Veillonellaceae. The record is from RNAcentral.